UUUUUGUCACAAAAUGUCCCCAUUUUGACGGCGGAAAGUUUUUACACUGCUUACAAGUUUACAAAAUAUCAAUGUCACUGUCCUCUUCAUGAUCCGAGUCCAACUGCUGCAUCGUAACCAUUGUUGGAGAUGUCUCCCCGAUAUCAGAAGACGUAAAUUCGUUGCUUUGAAAGAGGCAAUCGCAGGAAAAUAAUUAAUGCGGCACUCUUUCGGCGGCGGCGUUCUUUAAAAAAAUUUGAUCUCAAAUGCGGCGCUCAUUCGGGGGCGGCGCUCAAUCGGGGGCGGCGCUCAAAUGAGUAAAUACGGUAUAUGUUCC
This is a non-coding RNA of Paramuricea clavata, 316 nucleotides long. NCBI's taxonomy places the organism in Eukaryota, Metazoa, Cnidaria, Anthozoa, Malacalcyonacea, Plexauridae. The record is from the annotation of a GenBank genome assembly.